CGUGCUGCGGCCACACAGACAGCUUUGGAUGAAUCACAGAAUUCCAGGAACCAGAGAGCAAACCUCACCGUGUGGGCAACGAGCAGAGCAGGAGCUGCCAGAGCAAUGCCGUGACUAAGGAGGCUAAUGUCAUCCUUGGAUGUAGAAUACCUUCAGUAGGAGUAAAGAGGGUGAUGGAGCUGACUCCGUUGGAACUGACUGCUGCUGCCAUUUUUCUGACAGGAUGAAAGAAGUCCAGAGUGUUCAAAGUAUCAGAGGAGGAAAACUUGUGGACUGGA
RNAcentral lists this long non-coding RNA (278 nucleotides) under Apteryx rowi (Okarito brown kiwi). RNAcentral describes it as "lncRNA (ENSARWG00000014519.1)". The record is from RNAcentral. Lineage: Eukaryota; Metazoa; Chordata; Aves; Apterygiformes; Apterygidae.